UGGGGAAUAUUGCACAAUGGGCGCAAGCCUGAUGCAGCCAUGCCGCGUGUAUGAAGAAGGCCUUCGGGUUGUAAAGUACUUUCAGUCGGGAGGAAGGUGUCAAGGUUAAUAACCUUGGCAAUUGACGUUACCGACAGAAGAAGCACCGGCUAACUCCGUGCCAGCAGCCGCGGUAAUACGGAGGGUGCAAGCGUUAAUCGGAAUUACUGGGCGUAAAGCGCACGCAGGCGGUUGAUUGAGUCAGAUGUGAAAUCCCCGGGCUUAACCCGGGAAUUGCAUCUGAUACUGGUCAGCUAGAGGAUUGUAGAGGGGGGUAGAAUUCCAUGUGUAGCGGUGAAAUGCGGAGAGAUGUGGAGGAAUACCGGUGGCGAAGGCGGCCCCCUGGACAAAGACUGACGCUCAGGUGCGAAAGCGUGGGGAGCAAACAGG
This 429-nucleotide ribosomal RNA is filed under the name Chloroflexota bacterium. Its description in RNAcentral is "Chloroflexi bacterium partial 16S ribosomal RNA". It matches the Rfam family "Bacterial small subunit ribosomal RNA", at positions 355 to 776 of the family's 1533-position model. Lineage: Bacteria; Bacillati; Chloroflexota. The record is from RNAcentral.